This 303-nucleotide ribosomal RNA is filed under the name uncultured bacterium. RNAcentral's name for it is "partial 16S ribosomal RNA". It matches the Rfam family "Bacterial small subunit ribosomal RNA", at positions 507 to 809 of the family's 1533-position model. The record is from RNAcentral.
AGCAGUAGCCACGGGAAUACGUAGGUGGCAAGCGUUGUCCGGAAUUAUUGGGCGUAAAGGGCUCGCAGGCGGUUUCUUAAGUCUGAUGUGAAAGCCCCCGGCUCAACCGGGGAGGGUCAUUGGAAACUGGGAAACUUGAGUGCAGAAGAGGAGAGUGGAAUUCCACGUGUAGCGGUGAAAUGCGUAGAGAUGUGGAGGAACACCAGUGGCGAAGGCGACUCUCUGGUCUGUAACUGACGCUGAGGAGCGAAAGCGUGGGGAGCGAACAGGAUUAGAUACCCCCGUAGUCCCUGUCUCUUAUAA